UACGUAGGCAGCAAGCGUUGUUCGGAAUUACUGGGCGUAAAGCGUGCGCAGGCGGUGAUGUAAGACAGUUGUGAAAUCCCCGGGCUCAACCUGGGAACUGCAUCUGUGACUGCAUCGCUGGAGUGCGGCAGAGGGGGAUGGAAUUCCGCGUGUAGCAGUGAAAUGCGUAGAUAUGCGGAGGAACACCGAUGGCGAAGGCAAUCCCCUGGGCCUGCACUGACGCUCAUGCACGAAAGCGUGGGGAGCAAACAGG
This 253-nucleotide ribosomal RNA is filed under the name uncultured bacterium. RNAcentral's name for it is "partial 16S ribosomal RNA". It matches the Rfam family "Bacterial small subunit ribosomal RNA", at positions 524 to 776 of the family's 1533-position model. The record is from RNAcentral.